This 246-nucleotide ribosomal RNA is filed under the name uncultured bacterium. RNAcentral describes it as "partial 16S ribosomal RNA". It matches the Rfam family "Bacterial small subunit ribosomal RNA", at positions 523 to 769 of the family's 1533-position model. The record is from RNAcentral.
AUACGUAGGGGGCAAGCGUUAUCCGGAAUUAUUGGGCGUAAAGAGUGCGUAGGUGGUUACCUAAGCAGGGGGUGAAAGGCAGUGGCUUAACCACUGUUAGCCCCCUGAACUGGGCUACUUGAGUGCAGGAGAGGAAAGCGGAAUUCCUAGUGUAGCGGUGAAAUGCGUAGAUAUUAGGAGGAACACCAGUGGCGAAGGCGGCUUUCUGGACUGUUACUGACACUGAGGCACGAAAGUGUGGGGAGC